RNAcentral lists this ribosomal RNA (164 nucleotides) under uncultured bacterium. Its description in RNAcentral is "partial 16S ribosomal RNA". It matches the Rfam family "Bacterial small subunit ribosomal RNA", at positions 340 to 501 of the family's 1533-position model. The record is from RNAcentral.
UACGGGAGGCAGCAGUGGGGAAUAUUGGACAAUGGGCGAAAGCCUGAUCCAGCCAUGCCGCGUGUGUGAAGAAGGUCUUCGGAUUGUAAAGCACUUUAAGUUGGGAGGAAGGGCAGUUACCUAAUACGUGAUUGUUUGACGUACCGACAGAUAGAACGAUUUAC